GCAUAUCUAGCAAUAGCAUUACCAAGCUUAUUAGCGUCACAGGGAACAUAAGAGAGAAAUACAGCAAUGGUAGCCCCAAUUGAGACUAGUUUGUGAAAGGACAUUUUAUCAUAGAACUUACAAGCAGGUUAUAACUCUCAACUAGAAGAUGAGAAAAUUGCAGGUCCUUAUCCAAGAGAAUUGCAGAAGCCUCAGCUAAUUCCACCGAGAAAUUUACCCAAGAUGAAGCCGAUAUGAACAAAUGGAGGUCUCCUUUUCAGUGCAAUGCAGGUCUCCUUUUCACAUGAACAAAUGAAGAUUUUAUAGGAUAAGAAUCAGCACUAUCAAAUGUCAUUGAAGUGCUGAUUCCAUGGCACGUUAUCAGAGAGUUGAGGCAUACAUUUGGAGUGACAACUCUUGCAUUGUUCACGAACAGACCUAAUCUUCCACUGUUGGUAAUCCUGAGCAUCUUGUUGGGUACGCUUGAAGGAACCAGAGUUCCAUUGGGAAAAUGUAACAAGUGACUGAGGAGCAGUUCACUUGGGAUUGAGUGACUGAGAAUGAAAUCUUGGAGAUUGUCCAGCUUCAAGGCAACUUUUGACAGUUCCUCAUCAUUGGGCAUCAAGAAAGUUAUUUGCCCUUCAUGCAGCGAGUUGGGUGCACUGUUUAGGAUCUUCAGGAGGAUUACAAAUCCAUAGUAAAAUGAUGUUCUCAUGUCAUCCAUGGCUACCUGCAGAUCAGUUUGGUUUAAUGGAUUACUGGGUUGAGAUUCUCCAACACCAAAGAGUGGAAGGAGAAUGAGAAACAAGAGAGCCAUUGGGAGUGAUUUGGUCUGGUGUAACCAGUAGGAGAGAUCCCGCUGUUAUUCUUGUGCUCUUGAGAAGGUUUACAUGAGUUCUGUUUUCAGGGUUAGUUGGUGGGUUGUUUGUGCAUGAAGAAA
This 919-nucleotide unclassified non-coding RNA is filed under the name Hevea brasiliensis (rubber tree). The record is from RNAcentral. Lineage: Eukaryota; Viridiplantae; Streptophyta; Magnoliopsida; Malpighiales; Euphorbiaceae.